This is a non-coding RNA of Cinara cedri, 513 nucleotides long. NCBI's taxonomy places the organism in Eukaryota, Metazoa, Arthropoda, Insecta, Hemiptera, Aphididae. The record is from the annotation of a GenBank genome assembly.
GCAGACGACUAGGUGAAUCGGAUAGCGGUAGCUGGGACCGCGCUUUGAUUUGAUGCAUUGAUAUGUAUCCUGGGUUGGCCCUGAACCUUAACGGCUUGUAACUAGUUUUAAGUGCUAAUACACUGUCCAUGGUUGUACCGUUGCAUUUAUGCAUAGAUCAAAAAUUGGGACCUACUGUUGCACUUAACAGAAGCUUUAAAACAAGCACACCGUUUCGUUCCACAUUGACGUUUACAAAUACAAUUUAAAAACCUUGUUCCCCAGAAAUAUGUACUAUUAUACUGGCAGUAAAUGAUAAGGUCUAUGUUGAAAUGACCCAUUUUAACGACUACUUACAUUUUUAGGUUGGCUGCUAAAUUAUCUUCAAUCAUCAAUUGAAUCUCAUUUUUGGUAGGUGAUUUCCCAGGUUUGUCUACGUAGUAAAUAUUUAAUUUUUCAUAAAAUUCAGAAAAUGAAUCAAACUCUAUUUUAUCUAAAAUAAUUAUUUCGUCAUAAAUGGUGAUCGAUCGCAUU